RNAcentral lists this long non-coding RNA (780 nucleotides) under Manacus vitellinus (golden-collared manakin). RNAcentral describes it as "lncRNA (ENSMVIG00005013321.1)". The record is from RNAcentral. Lineage: Eukaryota; Metazoa; Chordata; Aves; Passeriformes; Pipridae.
AGAUGGAACAGGGCAGGCGCUCACAGUGGAGGUACCUGGUGGUGUGGGGUUCUCCAUGGGGUGGGUACAGGGUGGGUGUUCACUGAAAAGCAACAUGAGGGAAACCUCCUGUGUGUGCUUUCUGUCAGAAUAUAAAAAUACAUUUUUAUCUAUAAGUACAGGGGAAUGAUCCUUUGCAAAGCCAGAGGGGUGAAGGCUGUGUCGAAGAGAGGAGCCGAAUCCAAGGAUUUUGGCUCUACAAGUGCUUCACUUCCCAUCCCCAACAACCUGACUGCAGAAGCUUCCCUGAAAUCUCUGAGAAACAUAGGUGUCUGUCUUGUUUGGAUAAAAUGAGGAAAAUGUCCUCCCUGAAGCAUUUUCUGACAUUCAUGGAAAUGUGCUGAAAUGAGGGCUGAGAGAUGUCAGGUUUCCUCUGUCUGUUGCCCUUUGUGAACGUGUGUUGCUGUGUGCAGUGAAAUGCAGGGUAAAUUCCUGUGCCAGCACAGCCACCUCAUAACCCAGCUGUGCCAGAGCAUCACCACUGCUCCUGCCUCUGCUCCAACAACCCUGCCAUGGCAUGAAGAGACUCAAACAGCAUUUUGCCUGCCCCAGGUAUGUGACGACACAACAGAGUUUUCAGGAAAACAGCUCAUACACCCCUAAAACAGCAGAGCAGGGGACUACAGACCUCACAGACACACUUAUUUGAUCACAGAUAGGAAGAUGGUGCGUGACAGUAAUUAAAUUUUUCCUCUCAACUAAUUUAAUUUGUUAGCCAAAUAGGGAGAAAGGGUUUAUUGG